UUUAAAGGAGGUGGUGUGGCUGGUCUCUGAAACAGUGGAUGAGACGAUGGUGGUGGGUACGUAGAACGCGCAGAGGAUUAGAACGAGGAGAAGGACGAUGAUCCAAAGGCAGCAACGGUAGCGGUGGUGACGGCGACUUCGGUUUCCCCUUCAACAAUAGCAAUUUUUCCAAUCGUACUCUUUGAAUCGAGAUUGUUUGUGAAUCCGUUGAGGCUAGACUUGAUGGAGAAGGUUGCACUAGUAUUGUUGAUUGGGCGCAGAAUCGCAAGCGCUGGAGAGUAAACGGUAUCGUUUUGGAACUAUUUUGUAUCUAUUUUCUAUCUAUUCGUUGUUGUUGAUGUAAUUAUUCUGAUGUUAAUUAGUUAAAAUAUAAUAUUAGUUAAUGGAAUUGCUGGUGAAUUUUUAGUG
This 408-nucleotide long non-coding RNA is filed under the name Helianthus annuus (common sunflower). Its description in RNAcentral is "sRNA HanXRQr2_Chr13g0576751". The record is from RNAcentral. Lineage: Eukaryota; Viridiplantae; Streptophyta; Magnoliopsida; Asterales; Asteraceae.